Molecule: non-coding RNA, 73 nt
Organism: Salmo salar (Atlantic salmon)
Lineage: Eukaryota; Metazoa; Chordata; Actinopteri; Salmoniformes; Salmonidae
Source: Rfam
UCCCUUGUAGCUCAGUUGGUAGAGCAUGGCGCUUGUAACGCCAAGGUAGUGGGUUUGAUUCCGGGCAGUGGUG